Engraulis encrasicolus (European anchovy) is the source of this 1603-nucleotide long non-coding RNA. RefSeq lists it as uncharacterized. The record is from RefSeq and is a predicted model, not a curated record. The transcript is spliced from 2 exons. NCBI's taxonomy places the organism in Eukaryota, Metazoa, Chordata, Actinopteri, Clupeiformes, Engraulidae.
AAGCCAAAGGAUGCAAAAUGCAAAGAGAAAAAUUGGUUCGGGAACUACGUGUGCAGUAGUUGGCUGUAAAAACUCUAGAAAACACCUGAAGGAGUGGUUAGAUAGAGAGUGCUUUGACCAUAGACCAGCCACGAAAAGGGAAUGUUCAUGCCCUCCAUUGUUUAGUUUUUUUCGCAAGCCUGAUACCGACUCGGAAUCACAGGCCUGGCUUAGGGCAUUGAACUUAAAGUAUCCACCCCGGACAUUUUUUGUGUGUUCCCAUCACUUUGUGGACAAAAAACCAACCAAGAAUAAUCCGUUUCCAGAGUUGUGGUUGGGAUGCACUGACUUUACCCAGCCAAAGAGGAGUCAUGUCUCUGCCUCAAAGAAGCGCAAACUUCGGUGUGAUGAUGCUCCCGAAACAUAUCGACGGGCCUGUGAGGUACUGCGUGCCACACUAAAAUCCCGGGAUGUCCAUACCGAGUGGGAGGAUCUGACACUGACUGACCAUGCAUACUGUUCAACGACCACACAUACUGACCACGCAUACUGUUCAACAACACAGUCUGUUGAAGUAGAUAAGGCCACACCGUGCAAGAAUCCUACUGUGACUAGCACCACAGUCAUUGAUGAUUCUAGCUCUCAGCUGUAUACAGGAGUGCGCAUGACUCAAUUUUUCACCAUGGUGACGGUGUUGUUGCCAUUCAGUAAACCAUCAAUUACCCUUCCUCUUGUUGACCAAAUCCUGAUGACCUUGAUGAAGCUAAAACUAAACCUAGUAUUAGAAGAUAUAUCUCACCGUUUCAAAGUGUCUACAUGCAUGGCGAGCUUUGUGAUCAGUCACUGGAUUGGAGUGAUGGGCGAACAGUUCAAAGAUCCCCUGAUCCCCUGGCUUCCAAGACAGACCAUUCGUGCCACCAUGCCCUUAGCGUUUCGGAGGCUCUACCCUCGAACCACCUGCUUCAUUGAGUGUGCCGAAAGUGCUAUGCAGACAGCCACAAACCAAGAUUCAAGGAGUGAGACUUCCAGUGAGUAUAAAUCACGCAGCACUGUGAAAUAUCUUGUCGCUGUGGCCCCUAAUGGGGUGAUCAUGUUCAUAUCUGAUGCAUAUGCUGGCAGCAGCAGCAAUACGUUUAUCACUAGGGAUAGUGGGUUUCUAGGCUGUCUUAGGGCUGGUGAUGAGGUCAUGGCGGGCCAGGGGUUCACCAUUCGAGACCUGCUUACUGAACGAACGGUCCGUUUGAACAUCCCUGCAUUCACCGACGGGUGCAAUCAGUUGACCAAUGAGGAGAUGACACCCACCAGGCAUGUAGCCAAUGUCCGAAUACACGUGGAAAGAGCGAUCCAGAGACUGAAGGUCUUUAAGAUUUUAUCCCAGACCGUUCCCAUCAGCAUGGCACAUAACCUGGACAACAUCUUGACCAUCUGUGCUGGCCUAGUUAACCUGGAAAGUCCUCUGGUAAAAAUGCCUCAAGAGUUGUAGAAUCUUGCUUUGUGUCCCUGUGUGUGUAGUAUAAUUUGUUAAUAUUCCAAAUGAUUGUUAAAGUGAUGUCAUCCUGUGGGCUUGUAUAGUAUUUCACUUUUUGUACCUGUUAUUAUUAAAUGCAUGAUCUUUAUCGUUUAA